RNAcentral lists this ribosomal RNA (895 nucleotides) under uncultured bacterium. RNAcentral describes it as "bacterial SSU rRNA". It matches the Rfam family "Bacterial small subunit ribosomal RNA", at positions 1 to 888 of the family's 1533-position model. The record is from RNAcentral.
GGAUCCAGACUUUGAUCCUGGCUCAGGAUGAACGCUAGCUACAGGCUUAACACAUGCAAGUCGAGGGGCAGCAUUUUAGUUUGCUUGCGAACUGAAGAUGGCGACCGACGCACGGGUGAGUAACACGUAUCCAACCUGCCGAUAACUCCGGAAUAGCCUUUCGAAAGAAAGAUUAAUACCGGAUAGCAUACGAAUAUCGCAUGAUAUUUUUAUUAAAGAAUUUCGGUUAUCGAUGGGGAUGCGUUCCAUUAGUUUGUUGGCGGGGUAACGGCCCACCAAGACUACGAUGGAUAGGGGUUCUGAGAGGAAGGUCCCCCACAUUGGAACUGAGACACGGUCCAAACUCCUACGGGAGGCAGCAGUGAGGAAUAUUGGUCAAUGGGCGAGAGCCUGAACCAGCCAAGUAGCGUGAAGGAUGAAGGCUCUAUGGGUCGUAAACUUCUUUUAUAUGGGACUAAAGUUUUCCACGUGUGGAAUUUUGUAUGUACCAUAUGAAUAAGGAUCGGCUAACUCCGUGCCAGCAGCCGCGGUAAUACGGAGGAUCCGAGCGUUAUCCGGAUUUAUUGGGUUUAAAGGGAGCGUAGGUGGAUUGUUAAGUCAGUUGUGAAAGUUUGCGGCUCAACCGUAAAAUUGCAGUUGAAACUGGGAGUCUUGAGUACAGUAGAGGUGGGCGGAAUUCGUGGUGUAGCGGUGAAAUGCUUAGAUAUCACGAAGAACUCCGAUUGCGAAGGCAGCUCACUAGACUGUCACUGACACUGAUGCUCGAAAGUGUGGGUAUCAAACAGGAUUAGAUACCCUGGUAGUCCACACAGUAAACGAUGAAUACUCGCUGUUUGCGAUAUACAGUAAGCGGCCAAGCGAAAGCAUUAAGUAUUCCACCUGGGGAGUACGAAGG